CCUACGGGUGGCAGCAGUAGGGAAUCUUUCACAAUGGGCGAAAGCCUGAUGGAGCAACGCCGCGUGCAGGAUGAAGGCCUUCGGGUUGUAAACUUCUUUUAUAAGCGAGCAAUAUGAGGGUAACUUAUGAAUAAGGAUCGGCUAACUACGUGCCAGCAGCCGCGGUCAUACGUAGGAGCCGAGCAUUAUCCGGAGUUACUGGGUGUAAAGAGUUGCGUAGGUGGCAAGAUAAGUAGCUAGUGAAAUCUGGUGGCUCAACCAGUCAGACUAUUAGCGAUACUGUUAAGCUCGAGACCGUUAGGGGUAAGUGGAAUUUCUGGUGUAGGAGUGAAAUCCGUAGAUAUUAGAAGGAACACCAAUUGCGUAGGCAGGUUGCUGGGACGGUUCUGACACUAAGGCACGAAAGCGUAGGGAGCAAACGGGAUUAGAUACCCCUGUAGUC
This 442-nucleotide ribosomal RNA is filed under the name uncultured bacterium. Its description in RNAcentral is "partial 16S ribosomal RNA". It matches the Rfam family "Bacterial small subunit ribosomal RNA", at positions 338 to 795 of the family's 1533-position model. The record is from RNAcentral.